GACGAACGCUGGCGGCGUGCCUAAUACAUGCAAGUAGAACGCUGAAGAGAGGAGCUUGCUCUUCUUGGAUGAGUUGCGAACGGGUGAGUAACGCGUAGGUAACCUGCCUGGUAGCGGGGGAUAACUAUUGGAAACGAUAGCUAAUACCGCAUAAGAGUAGAUGUUGCAUGACAUUUGCUUAAAAGGUGCAAUUGCAUCACUACCAGAUGGACCUGCGUUGUAUUAGCUAGUUGGUGAGGUAACGGCUCACCAAGGCAACGAUACAUAGCCGACCUGAGAGGGUGAUCGGCCACACUGGGACUGAGACACGGCCCAGACUCCUACGGGAGGCAGCAGUAGGGAAUCUUCGGCAAUGGACGGAAGUCUGACCGAGCAACGCCGCGUGAGUGAAGAAGGUUUUCGGAUCGUAAAGCUCUGUUGUAAGAGAAGAACGAGUGUGAGAGUGGAAAGUUCACACUGUGACGGUAUCUUACCAGAAAGGGACGGCUAACUACGUGCCAGCAGCCGCGGUAAUACGUAGGUCCCGAGCGUUGUCCGGAUUUAUUGGGCGUAAAGCGAGCGCAGGCGGUUAGAUAAGUCUGAAGUUAAAGGCUGUGGCUUAACCAUAGUACGCUUUGGAAACUGUUUAACUUGAGUGCAAGAGGGGAGAGUGGAAUUCCAUGUGUAGCGGUGAAAUGCGUAGAUAUAUGGAGGAACACCGGUGGCGAAAGCGGCUCUCUGGCUUGUAACUGACGCUGAGGCUCGAAAGCGUGGGGAGCAAACAGG
RNAcentral lists this ribosomal RNA (765 nucleotides) under uncultured Streptococcus sp. RNAcentral describes it as "bacterial SSU rRNA". It matches the Rfam family "Bacterial small subunit ribosomal RNA", at positions 28 to 776 of the family's 1533-position model. Lineage: Bacteria; Bacillati; Bacillota; Bacilli; Lactobacillales; Streptococcaceae. The record is from RNAcentral.